UAGAUGCGAGAGUAGAGCAUAUCAAUAAGCGGAGGAAAAGAAACUAACAAGGAUCCCCUUAGUAACGGCGAGUGAAGCGGGAAGAGCUCAAACUUGAAAUCUUCAAGGUUCUACCUUGACGAAUUGUAGUUUAUAGAAGUGUUUUCUGUUAGUAGAGUGGCAAAAGUUCUUUGGAAUAGGACAUCAUAGAGGGUGAGAAUCCCGUAUUUGGUCAUUCUUUCUAGCUUUGUGAUACACUUUCAACGAGUCGGAUUGUUUGGGAAUGCAGCCCAAAAUGGGUGGUAAAUUCCAUAUAAAGCUAAAUAUUGGCGAGAGACCGAUAGCGAACAAGUACCGUGGGGGAAAGAUGAAAAGAACUUUGAAAAGAGAGUUAAACAGUACGUGAAAUUGUCAAAAGGGAAGCGUUUGACACCAGUGUUGUUUUUCCGAAAAUCAAUUACGAAUGUUUUGAUUUUUGAGAAGUUAUGACUUCAUCGGCUUGCCUUCUCUCUUUAUGAAACUUUCUUAAUGCACUUUUCGGUUAACAAGUCAACAUCAAUUUCUUUUGUUGUAAAAGGGUAUGAGGAAGGUGGCUUUCUUUUCGGAGAAAGUGUUUAUAGCCUUGUACCUCUGCAAUCGGAGAGAUUGAGGUCUGCAGCGUAGAUCCUUCGGGGUUAGAUACAUUUGUGCUAAGUUAUAGCUUUUCAUAGACAACUUGUUGACUAUGUUUAGUCUUGUAGCUUACUCGCUUAUGCUAUUUUACCUACGCUUAGGAUGUUGACACACGCGCGUGCUCG
This 776-nucleotide ribosomal RNA is filed under the name uncultured Neocallimastigales. RNAcentral describes it as "partial large subunit ribosomal RNA". It matches the Rfam family "Eukaryotic large subunit ribosomal RNA", at positions 22 to 643 of the family's 3401-position model. Lineage: Eukaryota; Fungi; Neocallimastigomycota; Neocallimastigomycetes; Neocallimastigales. The record is from RNAcentral.